GGCAGUUCUCGGGUGGUGCACCCUAGAAUCAGGCUCCCUCCUCUCUGUGUCACCCGAGAACCGCA
This is a non-coding RNA of Myotis brandtii (Brandt's bat), 65 nucleotides long. Lineage: Eukaryota; Metazoa; Chordata; Mammalia; Chiroptera; Vespertilionidae. The record is from Rfam.